This 468-nucleotide ribosomal RNA is filed under the name uncultured bacterium. RNAcentral describes it as "partial 16S ribosomal RNA". It matches the Rfam family "Bacterial small subunit ribosomal RNA", at positions 28 to 507 of the family's 1533-position model. The record is from RNAcentral.
GACGAACGCUGGCGGCGUGCUUAACACAUGCAAGUCGAACGGACAGGCCCUGCUUUUGUUGGGUGCUCGAUUGGCGAACGGGUGAGUAACACGUGAGUAACCUGCCCUUGACUUUGGGAUAACUUCAGGAAACUGGGGCUCAUACCGGAUAUGAUCUCCUGCUGCAUGGUGUGCGUUGGAAAGUUUCGGCGGUUGUGGAUGGACUCGCGGCUUAUCAGCUUGUUGGUGGGGUAGUGGCUUACCAAGGCUUUGACGGGUAGCCGGCAUGGGAGGUUGACCGGCGACCAGAGGACUGAGAUAGGGCCCAGAAUGCUACGGGAGGCAGCAGGGGGGAAUAUUGCACAAUGGGCGGAAGCCUGAUGCAGCAACGCCGCGUGCGGGAUAACGGCCUUCGGGGGGUAAACAGAUUUCGCCUGUGACGAAGCGUGAGUGACGGUAAUGGGUAAAGAAGCAACGGCUAACUACGUG